This is a long non-coding RNA of Cavia porcellus (domestic guinea pig), 6412 nucleotides long. RefSeq lists it as uncharacterized. NCBI's taxonomy places the organism in Eukaryota, Metazoa, Chordata, Mammalia, Rodentia, Caviidae. The transcript has 2 exons. The record is from RefSeq and is a predicted model, not a curated record.
CAUCUGGGUAUGCGGGUGAGUCACUGAGUGGCUGGUCCCUUUGUCCCAUGUAAAGGUAAGGCUGUAGCCACCCACUGCUGCCCUAAGUGAGUCUGGACAGAAAUGGGCAUGUCUGCCCUGCAGCAGCCCCACCCAUGCUGGGACAACCCUGAGUCAGGGAGGCCAGAGGUGCCACACCCCUUUCUCUCUACCAGUCACAGGCCCUGAAACUGAAAAUGACCUCAGGCCUCAACCAUGAAUCCAGGCCAGCACUGCACUGUGGAAACUGUGUCUUGCUGGGCUGCACAUGGGAUUCCUGGGAGCAGAAAGGGACAAAGGUGGAGAUGAAGCUCUUUGGUUCUACCGUUCACUUAGGAUCCUUCUAAAAUCCAUCUCCGAAAGACCAGGUCUCAUGCUGGUUCCUUCCAGCCAUGUAGUGAUGGUGGCAAGUCAGUCCUAGGGUUUAGGUCUAUGGUCACAUCUGUGGCCACAGGCCACAGCUAGCCAUGAUCUAGGCCUACUAGCAUAGGGGAGAGUGUGUGAAUUGAAAGGAGCCCCAGGACAACUACCCUCAUUUUGCAGAUGUGGAAAUCCAGGCCCAGAGAGGGUUAGUGACUUGCCCGAGGCCACAGAGCUUGUAGCAUCAAAAGUAUGAACUGUGGUUUCGUGGGCUUCAAACCUGCACUCUGUCCAUGUUUCUCCUUGCUGGAUCCCGGGUUAUGCCCUCAUGGGUUCUAGAAGUCCCCAUCAGUGACCCUGAUGAGAGUGGCACCGUGUUACUAAGCUCAGGGAGUAACUCUGAAGUGUGGGACUGGAGCUCCAGGGCAACCUGCCAGUGAGAGCUGCAUGUGUCCCUAGCCCAAGCUGGUUAAUAUCCUUCCUGCACAAGGAUGGGUGUGAGAAUCCACUCUGCAGACCCUGAAGCAGACACACUAAUCCUGCUUAAGAUAUCACCUAUACCAGGGAGAGCAGGGCCUGCCUGAUCCAGGAAAGAGCUUGCUGCCCUCAGGAAGGGUAUUAGCCUGCGUGGGGGUACCAGGAGGGUGCAUCAGAUUGAGAUGUGUCUCUGUGCGCACCUAGGAAGACAGUGAGUGGUGUGGACAUGCAGAUCAUUCCCCUCACUGAGGACCGAACUGUCCAGGUUCCCGCGGCCACGUUAUCACCCCAUGUGAACUUGGGAUGUACUUACUAAAGCCUGUUUCCCAAACUGCCAAAGGGAAAGGCUAAGAAUUUCAGUCACAGGUUUGUUAAAAAGAGCCAACUAGGGGGGCUGGGGACUUAGCUCAGCGGCAUAAGAGCCUGCCUUGCAAGCAGGCAGUCGCGAGUUCGAUCCCAGGUACCGAUAAAAAAGAAAAAGACCAAAAAAAAAAAAAAAAAAAAAAAAAGGGCCAACCACUCUGGAGGCAGGAGGUUCACAGCAAGACCUUGUCUCAAAUUAAUAUAUAAAAUGGACUUGGAGGGGCUGGGGAUUUAGCUCAGCGUCAUAAGCGCCUUCUUGCAAGUGCGCAGUCAUGAAUUCGAUCCCUGGUACUAAUUAAAAAAAAAAAAAGAAUUGGAAGAAAAGGGCUUGGGAUGUAGCUCUGGAUGCUUCCCAAUACUGGAAAAGAAAAACAAGGAGGAGAAGAAUGAGCCAAUCAACCUGACGGCCCUUCAGGGACACAGCCCACAGCUUGGAGGUGGAUGGGAGGGGGUGGGCUGUGCUGCUCCCCGGGGCUAAGGGCGCUGAGGGUACAGGUAGCACUGGGUCUGGGGGUAGGAGAGGGCUAGUUCCCAGCUCCCUGCCUGCGACUUCCUCACUUCCCUGGCUGCCUAAGGCAGCACUAAAUCAGGUCAACACUCUUGGCUGCUUGCAGGAACUGUCAACGCAAACAGCUCCAGCCCAGCUCCCAACCCAGGCCACCAUCUCCCACCCACUCUGGGCCCCAGCAGCCAAGGCAUCUCGGCUGCUCGGUGCCUUUGUUCUCCAGCAAGUACUGUUCAUUAGGCCUGGCUGUGUGCCUGGUGCUGGACCAGUGCUUUGAGAGGAAGUAACAGGCCCUGUGCGCUCUGCCAGACCCCUCCUGAGAAAACCUCUUCUAGAGAUCCAAUCACCUCUUUUCUGAGAGAGGAAACUGAGGCUCAGGGAAGGUAAGCACCUCAUUCAAGGGCACUGUCUGCAAGUGCAGAGCCAGAGCCGAAAUGGAGAACCUGUGCCUUUAGCCAGAGGCCAUGUGUUCCAGAGGUCUGGCAGCAGAGCCCACAGUGGGAGCUGGGAGGCCAGGGGAGGGCUGUACCUAGUGGCCUCAGGGAAUCUCAGGUCACAGUGCAGAGCAUGUUGGGAGUGAGAGAGAGGAGGAAGUCUGGAGUGUGGGAGGAGCAGCGCACACACACACACACACACACACACAGUGCCACACACAGACCACACAAGCAUAGGCCAGCAGGCAUCCACAAACACAAAGACCCAAGGGACAGGCACAUAGGUGAAUACACAAUAAAAGACAUACAGCCUCAGCUGUACACAAAGGACACAUAGGAAAACACUCGCCCGUGAUUGACACUUAUCCCACAUAUAGGCAGCCCCAGAGACACACAGACACUCCCCACCAUACAUACACACACGCACCCCUUGCACGAAAGGGAAGGAAGAGCGGCUGCCUCAUUUCCGGGCCUCCGCCUCUAAAGCUGAGGGAAAAACCUUCCCCAGAAGUGCUGAGUCAGCAGCGGGUGACAAAUGAGCCUUGGGCGGCGCCGGGCACCAGCGCGACCCUUUGCAUGCAGAGCGCCUGCGCGACAGCGCCAACUCCCGGCCAGCGGCCGCCCCGCCCCCGCCCCCGCCCCGGGGAGGCCCGCGGGAGGAAGUGACUUGCUUUGACUUUGCAAACGUCGGACUUUGCAGCCCAAGGUCACGCGGCAGGCACGGCCAGCCGGCUUCCUGCAGGGAGGCGGGGUGGGUGCUGGAUGGCUCCGGGCUGGGCUGCAGCUGGCCAGGCCUAGGAGGGGCCUAGGGACUGUCCCAGCAACAAGCCCUGCUGCUAGCUUGUUCCCACCAAAAUACGUGCUGUCGCAGGUGCCCACCGUGUUUGUGUGCCUGGCUCAAACCCCAGCAUCAGCGUCACCUCCUCAGAGAGACCUUCCCAGAGGGAAGGUGCCACCUCCAGGCCAUGUUCUGUUUACUUCCAUAGCAGUUGCCCCCUCUCGGAAUUUUUUUGUUUGCUUCUUUCUUGUCUUUCCACUCCUGUCCCUCAAUAAAAGCUCUUGACAGCAAAGCCUUUUGUUAUUUUGUUUGGCCUGCAGUGUAGCCAGAGCCUACAAUUGCAUCUGGGACGUAAUGGGUGCCAAGCCACAUUAAUACAUGUGCAUGAAUGAGGUGAGAGAACACAGCCUCGGGGCCACACGUGUAAGGAGAGGGCCAGGCUGUGUGUGUAGAGGGUACUUGCGUGCAGGUCCUGUGGGCUGCAGCUAAAAACACACUUGGCUAACCCACACAUACAGCAAGGUGUUUACUAUCUGGAGAAAGAAUGCUUCUGUCAGAGGCUUCCUCUCCAGGCCUCCCCCUAAGACAUGCUUGGCCCUGCCAGGGAGUCCGGGGGAGAGGGUAUCUUUCCUCAGGAGCAAGCAUCUUGGAUCGCUGGAGGUACCAUGAUGGAGAUGUCCACUGUGUUUCCGCUUCAGGUCCUGUGCCUCAGUUUCUUUCUUGGGCUCUGCUUCUCCAAGGUCGGUCUCUGGGAACACUGACGGAAUCUGGCAAAGCAGCAAAGUAAUUGUGUCAGUUUUCGGGCUUUACUGGACUCAGAGCCCGGAACCUUUUUUUUUUUUUUUUUUCUUUGUUUUUGUUUCUUAAUUCCUGUCCUUUCUCUCUCCCGCCUGUAAGAUAAUAAUCGUGAGGGUGUUGUGGAAUGUCCUUGGCUGGAGAAAUAAAAGGGUUAUCUUCAUUGCCAUCUCUGCUGAGAUUUGCUCACGUGGACAGCAAGGUGGGCACAUGGGCUGCAGCCCCUGGCCUGGCUGGUCCUGUUCCAGUGGAGAAAACAGACAGGAAGAGGCCCCAAGGAGGAGGCAGUCCUGGGGCGCGCAGCCUGCUGCUGCCUGCAAGGAACCCUCCUUACCUACAGUCACAACUGUGAGCUGCUGCCAGCCUUGGCCUGCCCUUUGCCAGGGGCCCCUUCCUGCCACAGCCCUGGGUAGAACAGGCUGACUGGACAGUGAAAGGGUGGCCUGAGGCCACUGUUCCCAGACUUCUCUUCUGACUCAGCUUCCCUGUGAGAGAGUGUGAAUGAGAACUGGGGAGGAGUGCCUGGCAGCCAGCAGUGGUCCCAUGGGGUGGGUCAGAAGCCAGAGCACCCUCCCCCCCAAACCGCCUGGCCCUCUGCGGCUCCUGCAGGGCUUCCCAGUGGCAGCACUGGAAGCCCACAAUGUGGGUAUGGGCAGAGGAAAGCAAAAGGAGCAAGACAAGGUGUCAGUCUCUAGCACUGUCCUGGGGCCAGGCCGAAGCCUCCUGGGAAGAUGGAAUCACAAGCCUUUGACAAUGGCCGGCCCCAUUCACUUUCAGUCAACAAAUAUUUCCUAAGCCCUUGGGUACAGCCAGCCCUGCUGGAAACAUCAGGAAUGCAGCCAUGGAAACAGAUUCCCAUGUCAGUAGAAUUUACAGUUUAGUGGAGGGAAGACAGUCAGUAGUCAAAAUAAGGGCUGAGGAUGUAGCACAGCUGUAACAGUGCCUGCCUAGCAAGUGGGAGGCCCUGAGUUCAAAUCCUGAUACAAAAAAAAGACUAAAAACAAAAGCUUCUAAAUAAAUAACUAAAAUAAGAGAAAUAUUUGGUGUGUCAGCUAGUGAUAGGUGCUACAGAGAAAAAUAAGGAGGGGAAGGAGUUGGAGGCUCCUGGAGCAGGGAUGGCUCUCAGUGUAAGUAGAAAGACGGGGGACAGCUCACUGAGAAGGUGGCUUUGAUUCUGAUUCAUGAAAAAUCAUUCAUCAGCACAAAAAGCCAAGGAUGCAGGUAAGAUUAUUAUCAUUCUUAUUAAGGAUGAGGAAGCUGGGGCCCAAGUGCUGAGUCUAAGUUCAGAAGGCUGAGGACAAGUGAAAUUUGAGCUUAAGUUGUCUGUGCUUUGUAACCACAGCAUGAUAUGGGAGAGAGAGAGAGAGAGAGAGAGAGGGAGACAGAGAGAGAGAGAGAGAGAGAGAGAGAGAGAGAGAGAGAGAGAGAGAAAGGACAAGGGAUAAAGAGGCAGUAUGGUGAGCCUUGCAGUGGUGACCAUCUGUUUUCCAAACUGAAAAUCAGGACAUGAUCCGAAAGGGUUUUCCUAUUGCUCGCAGUGAGAGUGGCUGUCUGGGAGAGGCGGUUUGGAUGCUGGCCUGCAGACUGGUACUUCUGAGACAUUCCAGUGGCUUGUGGGCCUCAUGAGGCAGUCCAAGGGUAGGGCAUUGCCAUAGCAACCUCUGCCUGGCCACUGGGCCAAGAGCCUGGUGCAGAGCCACAUGGCUGAGCCACUGGGCAUGGGCCCCGAGAUGCUGUGGGCCACAGGGCAGCACGAGUCACUAAGCAACCAGCAGGAGGAGCCUUGGGAAAGGGCGAGGGGUGGGUGUGGCCCACAUCUGGGCCAAUCAAUCAAGAGGGUGGUCUGGCAGUUUCCAGGAAGCCCCCUGGCAGUAGUCUUCAGGCAAUGUGAGGAAAGAACCAGGCUUUCCCGUUAGCCAAGCUUGGGUUUGAAUCAUUCCUGCUCUAGGUCUGGGUAAGCCACACGGCUCCUGGGAGCUUGUUUGUGUGUCUGUGCAGUGGGGCAAGCAGCUCACCUCAUGGAACAGUUGCAAAGAUUUUCAUGCUCUGUGAUGAGGCAGGAACUGUGUUUGGCAUAUUGCAAACUCUGUAUGAUUUUUCAGUUUCCUUCUACCUGACAGGGCGUGGAGGGGGCCAGCCAAGACAGAGAGCUGGGAGGGACAGAAGAGAUGAUAGGGCUUGGGAAACACAUGACCUGGUCACCCAGGGCAGUGGCAGGUUCCCAGCCAAGCCUUGCAUGUGGGCUGGGCCUUCGUCAGCAACAAAAGAACAAUACCCUUGGCAGACCCAGGGCAGCAGUGCCAGCCUUCCCUCCCUCUCUCCUACCCUCUGCAGCCUCAGGGCUCUGGGUCCAGGCCUGCCACCCAUGUCCCCUUCAGGUCUCCUGGGCAGCUCUAAAGCUCUCUAUGCCAGUGAGCAGCCAAGGGGCCUUAGGAGGUAGAUAAUUCUCAGGGGUGGCUCCUUAUUUUCCGCCCAGCUGCCUGAGCCUUCUGGUAAACCCCACUGCUGCUCCUCUGUUGCUUCUGAAGACUGUAUGCAAAGCAGAAAAGGAGAACACAGGGGCUGGGGAUUUAGCUCAGCGGCAUAAGUGCCUGCCUUGCAAGCAAGCAGUUAUGAGUUCGAUCCCCGGUACCGAUAAAAAUGAAAAAGACAAAAAAAAAAAAAAAAAAAGAGAACACAAAA